UUUCUUUUUCCUCAAAUUGAUUAAUACAAGAUCUCAGGGGUUCUAUCCAAAGCGUUUUGAUCUUAAGCUUGAGGGAAAGUACACGGCUAUUAGAGGGUUCAUCCAUCCAAUCCGAUAGAGAAAAAGACAUUGGAUCCGAGAGAGAAAGGGAGACAUCAGAUCCGAGAGAAAAGGGAGACACUCGAAGAAAGCUAAUGAAGUCUAGUUUCCAAUCCCAACAAAUUUCAUAUCAAUUGAAGUUUCCUAGAAGGAGUUAUGGCUGCUAGACUGGAGGCCUAUCAAGUUGACUGGUUUCAGUAACUCCUUUACUUUCUAUUUCUGCAGCUUCUCUUUUAGUCUUAAUUAUCUCUUAAGUGUUUGUUAGUUUGAUAACUUUGUUUAUCUUUAAGUUUUCCUAUUCUUGGAGGGUUGUUCCAAGAGUUAUAUACUUGGAUUGGGUGCCUAAGGGAGGACAUCUAAUGUUUGGUUAGAGAGUGGGAGGCUGUGCCUCAUUUUUCUUGGUUCUUUUCUUUGAGCUUGUGCAGGCCAUUGAAGGAACUCUCUCAACUCUGUAUCUCUUUGGGCAGAUCUAGGGAGUGGUGAGUGGCUAGGUCCUGUAUCCGAUCGUGGACUUUGUUCGGUGGUGGAUCUCAUCCCUUUUGUUACAUUAUUUCCGCAUCAGCAACAAUGGAGGAGCAAUGGUGGUGUUAAUGGUGAGCCAGAGGACAUUCUUGAUGUGUUCAUCUUUCUUAAAGAUGAUGAAGGAAAAGCCUCUCUUAAGAAUUGAAGAAAUUAAGGCACAAU
This is a long non-coding RNA of Dioscorea cayenensis subsp. rotundata (Guinea yam), 783 nucleotides long. RefSeq lists it as uncharacterized. The transcript has 3 exons. The record is from RefSeq and is a predicted model, not a curated record. Lineage: Eukaryota; Viridiplantae; Streptophyta; Magnoliopsida; Dioscoreales; Dioscoreaceae.